Molecule: transfer RNA, 72 nt
Filed under: Fusarium fujikuroi
Lineage: Eukaryota; Fungi; Ascomycota; Sordariomycetes; Hypocreales; Nectriaceae
Also listed under: 1 other name
Description: tRNA tRNA
Rfam family: tRNA
About the family: Transfer RNA (tRNA) molecules are approximately 80 nucleotides in length.
Source: RNAcentral
UUCUUCCGUAGUAUAGUGGUCAGUAUGCAAGCUUGUCACGCUUGAGACCCGGGUUCAAUUCCCGGCGGGAGA